Molecule: ribosomal RNA, 254 nt
Filed under: uncultured bacterium
Lineage: Bacteria
Description: partial 16S ribosomal RNA
Rfam family: Bacterial small subunit ribosomal RNA
Source: RNAcentral
UACGUAGGGUGCGAGCGUUGUCCGGAAUUACUGGGCGUAAAGAGCUCGUAGGUGGUUUGUCGCGUUGUUCGUGAAAACUCACAGCUCAACUGUGGGCGUGCGGUCGAUACGGGCAUCACUGGAGUUCGGCAGGGGAGACUGGAAUUCCUGGUGUAGCGGUGAAAUGCGCAGAUAUCAGGAGGAACACCGGUGGCGAAGGCGGGUCUCUGGGCCGAUACUGACACUGAGGAGCGAAAGCGUGGGGAGCGAACAGG